CUUGGGAGCUUGAUGUUUCUCUUUAAUUUUCUCCCUCAUAGAUUGUUUUCAAUUGAUCCCAUAUUUGUUGGUUGAAAUACAAGAAGAAAUUGCAUUAAACUCAUUAAUAUCUAAAGAACAAUAGAGUAUAUUCAUGGCCUUAGCAUUAAGUUGGGCCAUUUUCUUGUCAUCAAAUAUAAUCUUUCAUAAAUUAUAAUCGUGUGCUUGUAUG
This 211-nucleotide long non-coding RNA is filed under the name Elaeis guineensis (African oil palm). Its description in RNAcentral is "long non-coding RNA (EGUI_LNC041159)". The record is from RNAcentral. Lineage: Eukaryota; Viridiplantae; Streptophyta; Magnoliopsida; Arecales; Arecaceae.